Long non-coding RNA from Olea europaea var. sylvestris, 675 nucleotides. RefSeq lists it as uncharacterized. The record is from RefSeq and is a predicted model, not a curated record. NCBI's taxonomy places the organism in Eukaryota, Viridiplantae, Streptophyta, Magnoliopsida, Lamiales, Oleaceae. The transcript has 2 exons.
UUUUUUUUUUUUUUUUUCCGAAGCAAGCUCGAUCUUCCGAGCGGUUGGGACAAGAAAUCUUGCUGUUCAACUAAAAAAAAGGAAAAGAAAAGGUUAAAACACAGAGAGAGUUGUACUAAAAAAAAUAAUAGUAAUAAAAAUUAAAAACACUUCGAGAGCGAAAGGAUUAACUUGCUAUUGUGAGAAAGCGUUUCAACGUGGUCUUAUAAGCUGCAAUGUAGACUUUAAUGGAUGUUUUGUUGAUUUAGUGUGGAUCAAUUGAAAAUGGCCAUGAUUUUGCUUUGCCUUUUCAUAUAUGCUGUUAUCCACGAGGUCUUUCGAAUGGUAUGAUGUGCUUCGCAUGCAGACAAAUUAAGGUAGAUAAAGGGUUUGUUGCCCAGGUAGCGGAUGUCGUUGGAGGAAGAAGUGCUCCUCUGAAUGCAGUGCAGAAGUUGGAAGCUGAAAAAACUGUUGUUGGUGAAUUCAGUAACAUCAAACAUGUAAGAGGUAAUCUUUCCAUGGGAAGGUAAAGUCUUUGCUGCUGCCUGCUAGGAACUUUCACCACUUGUAAUUUUAUUGAAUUCUUUUUCAUUUAAGUUUACAUAGAUAUUAUAAUUAAGCCUUUGUAUGAAAGUGGUUUUCUGAAAAUCACUUUUUCUCCACUCGUUUUUAACCACACACCCACAAAAAAAAAAA